UACGUAGGGGGCAAGCGUUGUCCGGAAUUAUUGGGCGUAAAGCGCGUGUAGGCGGCCAAGUAAGUCUUACGUGAAAUCCUCGGGCUCAACCCGAGAACUGCAUUGCAAACGGCCUGGCUAGAGUGCAGGAGAGGGAAGCGGAAUUCCAGGUGUAGCGGUGAAAUGCGUAGAUAUCUGGAGGAACACCGGUGGCGAAGGCGGCAUCCUGGACCGACACUGACGCUGAGGAGCGAAAGCCAGGGGAGCAAACGGG
RNAcentral lists this ribosomal RNA (253 nucleotides) under uncultured bacterium. RNAcentral's name for it is "partial 16S ribosomal RNA". It matches the Rfam family "Bacterial small subunit ribosomal RNA", at positions 524 to 776 of the family's 1533-position model. The record is from RNAcentral.